AUCGCUUCUCGGCCUUUUGGCUAAGAUCAAGUGUAGUAUCUGUUCUUAUCAGUUUAAAAACUCUGACUAUAAUCUGGUUUGGGGUCCAAGUCCCUACUCUGUUGUGUCAGGUAUACUUGGGCCCAAGCUUAAGCUUGCUGAAUAAACCCUCGUGUGUUUACAUUGGUGUUGGCUCCUUGGUGGUCUCUCG
This is a small nuclear RNA of Mustela lutreola (European mink), 190 nucleotides long. RefSeq annotates it as U2 spliceosomal RNA. The transcript has a single exon. The record is from RefSeq and is a predicted model, not a curated record. Lineage: Eukaryota; Metazoa; Chordata; Mammalia; Carnivora; Mustelidae.